CCCCAGCUCUGGCACCGCAGGGUGUCCCCUUCACACACCCAGCAAUCAACAGAUCUACAUGUCGGGGAAAAGGUCGAAGCUGUGUUCAGCAGACGGCGCCUGCGAGGCGUCUUGGCGGCUAAGCUCGGCUGCUUCAGCCAGUGCCGGGCAACGCAGCCCGCGGCCACCUGUCCCCGCCCAGAGACGUCCGGUCAACAAGCGACUCGUUCUGAGGACGCUGUCAGGAGGCUUGCAGACGCCACUCCAAGCUUAACAGGCGAGGAAAGUCACAGCUACUGGAUUCUGUGCAAAAACCCAAGUAUUUCCACCCAAAAACAGAGUCGCAUUCCCACCCAAAGUCCACUUGCUUGCAAAAGGCCGAGCAAAUCUAAACACCGGCACUCCGGUGGCUUCAGAGUGCGCUCCUCAGAGCAGGACUGCGCGGCAGGCAGACCCCACAGCACACGCGUCGUCACGCAGACCCCACAGCACACGCAUCACGCAGACCCCACAGCACGCGCAUCGUCACGCAGACCCCACAGCACACGCGUCGUCACGCAGACUCCCACAGCACACGCAUCGUCACGCAGACCCCACAGCACACGCGUCGUCACGCAGACCCCACAGCACACGCAUCGUCACGCAGACCCCACAGCACACGCAUCGUCACGCAGACUCCCACAGCACGCGCAUCGUCACGCAGACCCCACAGCACGUGCGUCGUCACGCAGACCCCACAGCACGCGCAUCGUCACGCAGACCCCACAGCACGCGCAUCAUCACGCAGACCCCACAGCACACGCGUCGUCACGCAGACCCCACAGCACGCGCGUCGUCACGCAGACCCCACAGCACACGCGUCGUCACGCAGACCCCACAGCACGCGCAUCAUCACGCAGACCCCCACAGCACACGCGUCGUCACGCAGACCCCACAGCACGCGCGUCGUCACGCAGACCCCACAGCACACGCGUCGUCACGCAGACCCCACAGCACGCGCGUCAUCACGCAGACCCCACAGCACACGCAUCACGCAGACCCCACAGCACGCGCAUCGUCACGCAGACCCCACAGCACACGCGUCGUCACGCAGACCCCACAGCACGCGCGUCAUCACGCAGACCCCACAGCACACGCGUCGUCACGCAGACCCCACAGCACACGCGUCGUCGGGCUCAGUGAACACGCCUGAUGAACGGGGCGCUGACCCCUGGGGGCCAGGGUCUCCCCAGAGCCACGGCCCUUCCUGGCCAGCACCAAUCAGCUCUCAGAUGGCAAAACGGCCAAGGCCAAGGCCUACACGCUCAAGCGGCUCUGCCACACCAGGCACGGCCUUCAAAAAUCACUACUGUGUGCGUCUGGAAAACACGAAACGUACGUAAUGACGCCUACUAACACGCACAAACAGCUUAGCUGCGUGCGUGCAAACAGCCACCGUGACUCCACAGACCCCUCAGACGCCCGACAGCGGGCGCAACAACUCACGCCUGCGCCACGGCUAGGAUCCCGAAGAGCUGACCAGAAGCGCGCGCUGGGGGAAGUGGUGGUGGGGACCCUCACCCCGCUGCUGGGAGCCAAAGUGGUGGCCUCCACUGAACGCGGGCCGGCAGUUCCUGCAGCUACCCUGGGACCCACCGAGCCCCCUCCGGGCCUAUGCCCACGGCUGAAGCAGGUCUCGGGCACUGCACGGCCACGGCCGCGUCGCCACAGCCCACGGGAACGGGAACGGACG
RNAcentral lists this long non-coding RNA (1711 nucleotides) under Oryctolagus cuniculus (rabbit). RNAcentral's name for it is "lncRNA (ENSOCUG00000037595.1)". Lineage: Eukaryota; Metazoa; Chordata; Mammalia; Lagomorpha; Leporidae. The record is from RNAcentral.